UGGGGAAUAUUGCACAAUGGGCGAAAGCCUGAUGCAGCGACGCCGCGUGAGGGAUGACGGCCUUCGGGUUGUAAACCUCUUUCAGCAGGGAAGAAGCGAAAGUGACGGUACCUGCAGAAGAAGCGCCGGCUAACUACGUGCCAGCAGCCGCGGUAAUACGUAGGGCGCAAGCGUUGUCCGGAAUUAUUGGGCGUAAAGAGCUCGUAGGCGGCUUGUCACGUCGGUUGUGAAAGCCCGGGGCUUAACCCCGGGUCUGCAGUCGAUACGGGCAGGCUAGAGUUCGGUAGGGGAGAUCGGAAUUCCUGGUGUAGCGGUGAAAUGCGCAGAUAUCAGGAGGAACACCGGUGGCGAAGGCGGAUCUCUGGGCCGAUACUGACGCUGAGGAGCGAAAGCGUGGGGAGCGAACAGG
RNAcentral lists this ribosomal RNA (409 nucleotides) under Streptomyces sp. RNAcentral's name for it is "bacterial SSU rRNA". It matches the Rfam family "Bacterial small subunit ribosomal RNA", at positions 355 to 776 of the family's 1533-position model. The record is from RNAcentral. Lineage: Bacteria; Bacillati; Actinomycetota; Actinomycetes; Kitasatosporales; Streptomycetaceae. RNAcentral also lists the same sequence under 2 other names.